RNAcentral lists this transfer RNA (82 nucleotides) under Candidatus Hakubella thermalkaliphila. Its description in RNAcentral is "Candidatus Hakubanella thermoalkaliphilus tRNA-Leu". The record is from RNAcentral. Lineage: Bacteria; Bacillati; Actinomycetota; Candidatus Hakubellales; Candidatus Hakubellaceae.
UGCGAGAAGGGGGACUCGAACCCCCAUGGCCUGAGCCACUGGAUCCUAAGUCCAGCGCGUCUACCAUUUCCGCCAUUCUCGC